UUCCCAGGAUAAAUCUGAAGAAGUGGACCGACGUCCUUCUGCCUCCCUCUUAGGCUCCUUUUGUCAUGGUAAUUGAAAUGUGACAAACUCUGAUAACAUUUUGUUGGAAGAAAUCUGUCUGACUGACUGGGCCACAGCAUCCAAGUCACACAAAAAACCUUUAUUCAGAAAUAAACUAUUAA
Long non-coding RNA from Cyanistes caeruleus (blue tit), 182 nucleotides. RefSeq lists it as uncharacterized. NCBI's taxonomy places the organism in Eukaryota, Metazoa, Chordata, Aves, Passeriformes, Paridae. The record is from RefSeq and is a predicted model, not a curated record.